AGCUUUGCGCAGUGGCAGUAUCGUAACCAAUGAGGUUCAUCCGAGGUGCGAUUAUUGCUAGUUGAAAACUUUUCCCAACGCUCUGCCCAAGGAUUUGAAAUAUAGUUUGGCACAAGGCAAUUUUAGUUAGCCCAGCUUUGGG
Molecule: small nuclear RNA, 142 nt
Organism: Eriocheir sinensis (Chinese mitten crab)
Lineage: Eukaryota; Metazoa; Arthropoda; Malacostraca; Decapoda; Varunidae
Product: U4 spliceosomal RNA
Exons: 1
Source: RefSeq, a predicted model, not a curated record